AGAGUUUGAUUAUGGCUCAGAUUGAACGCUGGCGGCAUGCCUAACACAUGCAAGUCGAACGGAAACGAUGAAGAGCUUGCUCUUCAGGCGUCGAGUGGCGGACGGGUGCGUAACGCGUAGGAAUCUACCUUAUAGUGGGGGACAACUCGGGGAAACUCGAGCUAAUACCGCAUAAUCCUUACGAGGGAAAGCAGGGGAUCUUCGGACCUUGUGCUAUUAGAUGAGCCUGCGUCGGAUUAGCUAGUUGGUAGGGUAAUGGCCUACCAAGGCAACGAUCCGUAGCUGGUCUGAGAGGACGACCAGCCACACUGGGACUGAGACACGGCCCAGACUCCUACAGGAGGCAGCAGUGGGGAAUAUUGGACAAUGGGCGCAAGCCUGAUCCAGCAAUGCCGCGUGUGUGAAGAAGGCCUUAGGGUUGUAAAGCACUUUCAGUAGGGAAGAAAUGCGUAAAGUUAAUAACUUUGCGUCUUGACGGUACCUACAGAAGAAGCACCGGCUAACUCCGUGCCAGCAGCCGCGGUAAUACGGAGGGUGCAAGCGUUAAUCGGAAUUACUGGGCGUAAAGCGCGCGUAGGCGGCUAUAUAAGUCGGAUGUGAAAGCCCUGGGCUCAACCUGGGAUCUGCAUUCGAUACUGUAUAGCUAGAGUUUGGUAGAGGGAAGUGGAAUUCCACAUGUAGCGGUGAAAUGCGUAGAUAUGUGGAGGAACACCAGUGGCGAAGGCGACUUCCUGGACCAAAACUGACGCUGAGGUGCGAAAGCGUGGGUAGCAAACAGGAUUAGAUACCCUGGUAGUCCACGCCGUAAACGAUGUCAACUAGCCGUUGGG
RNAcentral lists this ribosomal RNA (830 nucleotides) under uncultured Gammaproteobacteria bacterium. RNAcentral describes it as "bacterial SSU rRNA". It matches the Rfam family "Bacterial small subunit ribosomal RNA", at positions 8 to 827 of the family's 1533-position model. Lineage: Bacteria; Pseudomonadati; Pseudomonadota; Gammaproteobacteria. The record is from RNAcentral.